UACGAAGGGGGCUAGCGUUGUUCGGAAUUACUGGGCGUAAAGGGCGCGUAGGCGGUGUGUCAAGUCAGGCGUGAAAGCCCCGGGCUCAACCUGGGAACCGCGCUUGAGACUGGCACGCUCGAGUUCGGGAGAGGAUGGUGGAAUUCCCAGUGUAGAGGUGAAAUUCGUAGAUAUCAAGCGGAACACCGGUGGCGAAGGCGGCCUUCUGGACAGUGACUGACGCUGAGAUGCGAAAGCGUGGGGAGCAAACAGG
Molecule: ribosomal RNA, 253 nt
Filed under: uncultured bacterium
Lineage: Bacteria
Description: partial 16S ribosomal RNA
Rfam family: Bacterial small subunit ribosomal RNA
Source: RNAcentral